CCUACGGGAGGCAGCAGUGGGGGAUAUUGCACAAUGGGGGGAACCCUGAUGCAGCGACGCCGCGUGGGUGAAGAAGCGCCUCGGCGCGUAAAGCCCUGUCAGCAGGGAAGAAAAUGACGGUACCUGAAGAAGAAGCCCCGGCUAACUACGUUCCAGCAGCCGCGGUAAUACGGAGGGGGCAAGCGCUAUCCGGAUUUACUGGGGGUAAAGGGGGCGCAGACGGCGAUGCAAGCCAGGAGUGAAAGCCCGGGGCCCAACCCCGGGACUGAUCUUGGAACUGCGUGGCUAGAGUGCAGGAGGGGGAGGCGGAAUUCGUGGUGUAGCGGUGAAAUGCGUAGAUAGCAGGAGGAACACCGGUGGCGAAGGCGGCCUGCUGGACUGCAACUGACGUUGAGGCACGAAAGCGUGGGGAGCGAACAGGAUUAGAUACCCCUGUAGUC
Molecule: ribosomal RNA, 440 nt
Filed under: uncultured bacterium
Lineage: Bacteria
Description: partial 16S ribosomal RNA
Rfam family: Bacterial small subunit ribosomal RNA
Source: RNAcentral